GACGAACGCUGGCGGCGUCGCCGUAAGUACAUGCAAGUAGAACGCUGAGGACUGGUGCGUUGCGACUAGGGUCUAAGGAGUUGCGAACGGGUGAGUAACGCGUAGGUAACCUACCUCAUAGCGGGGGAUAACUAUUGGAAACGAUAGCUAAUACCGCAUGACAAUAGGGUACACAUGUACCCUAUUUAAAAGGGGCAAAUGCUUCACUAUGAGAUGGACCUGCGUUGUAUUAGCUAGUUGGUAAGGUAACGGCUUACCAAGGCGACGAUACAUAGCCGACCUGAGAGGGUGAUCGGCCACACUGGGACUGAGACACGGCCCAG
This 323-nucleotide ribosomal RNA is filed under the name uncultured bacterium. Its description in RNAcentral is "bacterial SSU rRNA". It matches the Rfam family "Bacterial small subunit ribosomal RNA", at positions 28 to 334 of the family's 1533-position model. The record is from RNAcentral.